RNAcentral lists this ribosomal RNA (698 nucleotides) under uncultured Lactobacillus sp. RNAcentral's name for it is "bacterial SSU rRNA". It matches the Rfam family "Bacterial small subunit ribosomal RNA", at positions 18 to 683 of the family's 1533-position model. Lineage: Bacteria; Bacillati; Bacillota; Bacilli; Lactobacillales; Lactobacillaceae. The record is from RNAcentral.
CCUGGCUCAGGACGAACGCUGGCGGCGUGCCUAAUACAUGCAAGUCGAGCGAGCUGAACCAACAGAUUCACUUCGGUGAUGACGUUGGGAACGCGAGCGGCGGAUGGGUGAGUAACACGUGGGGAACCUGCCCCAUAGUCUGGGAUACCACUUGGAAACAGGUGCUAAUACCGGAUAAGAAAGCAGAUCGCAUGAUCCGCUUAUAAAAGGCGGCGUAAGCUGUCGCUAUGGGAUGGCCCCGCGGUGCAUUAGCUAGUUGGUAGGGUAACGGCCUACCAAGGCAAUGAUGCAUAGCCGAGUUGAGAGACUGAUCGGCCACAUUGGGACUGAGACACGGCCCAAACUCCUACGGGAGGCAGCAGUAGGGAAUCUUCCACAAUGGACGAAAGUCUGAUGGAGCAACGCCGCGUGAGUGAAGAAGGUUUUCGGAUCGUAAAGCUCUGUUGUUGGUGAGGAAGGAUAGAGGUAGUAACUGGCCUUUAUUUGACGGUAAUCAACCAGAAAGUCACGGCUAACUACGUGCCAGCAGCCGCGGUAAUACGUAGGUGGCAAGCGUUGUCUGGAUUUAUUGGGCGUAAAGCGAGCGCAGGCGGAAGAAUAAGUCUGAUGUGAAAGCCCUCGGCUUAACCGAGGAACUGCAUCGGAAACUGUUUUUCUUGAGUGCAGAAGAGGAGAGUGGAACUCCAUGUGUAGCGGUG